Molecule: long non-coding RNA, 227 nt
Filed under: Lathyrus oleraceus (garden pea)
Lineage: Eukaryota; Viridiplantae; Streptophyta; Magnoliopsida; Fabales; Fabaceae
Description: Pisum sativum (pea) long non-coding RNA (PSAT_LNC011781)
Source: RNAcentral
AUAACUAACUGAGUUUCUCAUUCACUAACCAACUGAGUUUUCAGCUUACUCAGUGAGUCAGGCCCAACUAACUCCUAACCAUAUCUAACUAACUCCAAACCUAAAUCCAAAGCUGCCAAAGUUCUAAGCCUCACCUCCAUUUAAGAGAUUCAUCACUCACAUUUUUAGAACCCUUGGAUUUUGCUUGAACCUGCACUCUCUCUCUAUUGCAAUCUCUUCCCUCACCC